GACGAACGCUGGCGGCGUGCUUAACACAUGCAAGUCGAACGGUGAAGCGCCUUCCUUUUUGGUGGGUGUGGAUGAGUGGCGAACGGGUGAGUAACACGUGAGUAACCUGCCCCCUUCUUCUGGAUAACCGCAUGAAAGUGUGGCUAAUACGGGAUAUUCUGGGUCUGUCGCAUGAUGGGUCUGGGAAAGAUAUUGUUUCGGUGGGGGAUGGGCUCGCGGCCUAUCAGCUUGUUGGUGGGGUGAUGGCCUACCAAGGCGGUGACGGGUAGCCGGCCUGAGAGGGUGGACGGUCACACUGGGACUGAGACACGGCCCAGACUCCUACGGGAGACAGCAGUGGGGAAUAUUGCACAAUGGGCGCAAGCCUGAUGCAGCGACGCCGCGUGAGGGAUGGAGGCCUUCGGGUUGUGAACCUCUUUCGCCAGUGAAGCAGGCCUGCCUCGUUUGUGGGUGGGUUGACGGUAGCUGGAUAAGAAGCGCCGGCUAACUACGUG
Molecule: ribosomal RNA, 494 nt
Filed under: uncultured bacterium
Lineage: Bacteria
Description: partial 16S ribosomal RNA
Rfam family: Bacterial small subunit ribosomal RNA
Source: RNAcentral